Molecule: ribosomal RNA, 450 nt
Filed under: uncultured bacterium
Lineage: Bacteria
Description: partial 16S ribosomal RNA
Rfam family: Bacterial small subunit ribosomal RNA
Source: RNAcentral
CCUACGGGUGGCUGCAGUGGGGAAUUUUGGACAAUGGGCGCAAGCCUGAUCCAGCCAUUCCGCGUGAGUGAAGAAGGCCUUCGGGUUGUAAAGCUCUUUCGCAAGGGAAGAAAACUUAUCCUCUAACAUAGGAUGAGGUUGACGGUACCUUGAUAAGAAGCACCGGCUAACUACGUGCCAGCAGCCGCGGUAAUAAGUAGGGUGCGAGCGUUAAUCGGAAUUACUGGGGGCAGAUUGUGCGGUGGCUGGUGAAAUCCCCGAGCGCAACUUGGUAACUGCGUUUGAAACUACAAGACUAGAAUAGGUCAGAGGGGGGUAGAAUUCCACGUGUAGCAGUGAAAUGCGUAGAGAUGUGGAGGAAUAUCAAUGGCGAAGGCAGCCCCCUGGGAUCAUAUUGACGCUCAUGCACGAAAGCGUGGGGAGCAAACAGGAUUAGAUACCCGAGUAGUC